UUCCAGGGCCAGGCUAGUCCGCCCUGGGUGAGUCGGGACCUAAGGCGAGGCCGACAGGCGUAGUCGAUGGAUGACGGGUUGAUAUUCCCGUACCGGCGAAGCACCGCCCAUGCUGACGCGCGGGUGCUAACCCACGCCCAGCCACCAAGUUCAGCCGCGCCUACUCCUUUCGGGGGGUGGUGUGGUUGUGGUGGUGGGGUCUGGGGACCCUCCGUGCAGGUAGGCAAGCGUGUUAACAGGGGUGACGCACAGUGGUAGCCCGGCGGACCUGAUGGCUUGGUCCGUUCAAGCGCGCAGCCCGUCCUCCAGGCAAAUCCGGAGUGACUGCCUCCUUGAGGGGUGAGGGUGAGGCGUGAUGGUGACCCCACGCUGGUGGGGGAUAACAGGGUGAUCCUGGGGUGCCGAGAAAAGCCUCGACGCGAUGGUGCCAGCCGCCCGUACCCUAAACCGACACAGGUGGUCGGGCAGAGUAUGCCUAGGCGCACGAGUGAAUCAUGGUUAAGGAACUCGGCAAAAUGCCCCCGUAACUUCGGGAGAAGGGGGGCCUGAUCCCUGAAGCCCCAUCGCGGGCUAGGGGGGAGGGUCGCAGAGGCCAGGGGGAAGCGACUGUUUACUAAAAACACAGGUCCGUGCGAAGCCGUAAGGCGAUGUAUACGGACUGACGCCUGCCCGGUGCUGGAAGGUUAAGAGGAACCAUCAACCCCCUCGUGGGGUGAAGUGGUGAAUUUAAGCCCCAGUAAACGGCGGUGGUAACUAUAACCAUCCUAAGGUAGCGAAAUUCCUUGUCGGGUAAGUUCCGACCUGCACGAAUGGCGUAACGACUUCCCCGCUGUCUCAACCAUGAGCUCGGCGAAAUUGCAGUACGAGUAAAGAUGCUCGUUUCGCGCAGAAGGACGGAAAGACCCCGGGACCUUUACUACAGCUUGGUAUUGGCGCCCGCUAUAGCUUGUGCAGGAUAGGUGGGAGACUGUGAAGCCGUUACGCCAGUGGCGGUGGAGUCGUCCUUGAAAUACCACUCUGGUUAUGGCGUGCGCCUGAACCUGGGCCCGUGAUCCGGGUUAGGGACAGUGCCUGGUGGGUAGUUUAACUGGGGCGGUUGCCUCCUAAAGUGUAACGGAGGCGCUCAAAGGUUCCCUCAGCCUGGUCGGCAACCAGGUGUUGAGUGCAAGUGCACAAGGGAGCUUGACUGUGAGACCGACGGGUCGAGCAGGUACGAAAGUAGGAACUAGUGAUCCGGCGAUCCCGUGUGGGUGGGUCGUCGCUCAACGGAUAAAAGGUACCCCGGGGAUAACAGGCUGAUCCUGCCCAAGAGUCCAUAUCGACGGCAUGGUUUGGCACCUCGAUGUCGGCUCGUCGCAUCCUGGGGCUGGAGCAGGUCCCAAGGGUUGGGCUGUUCGCCCAUUAAAGCGGUACGCGAGCUGGGUUUAGAACGUCGUGAGACAGUUCGGUCCCUAUCCUCUGCGCGCGCAGGAGACUUGAGAAGGCCUGUCCCUAGUACGAGAGGACCGGGACGGACGAACCUCUGGUGUGCCAGUUGUCCCGCCCGGGGCACGGCUGGUUGGCUACGUUCGGACAGGGUAACCGCUGAAAGCAUCUAAGCGGGAAACCACCUUCAAGACCAGGUCUCCGCAGCAGCACCCCGUGCUGCUGGAAGGCCCCCAGCAGACCACUGGGUCGAUAGGCCAGACGUGGAAGACCGGCAACGGCCGAAGCCGACUGGUACUAACAGGCCAACACAAACACAC
This 1745-nucleotide ribosomal RNA is filed under the name human oral metagenome. Its description in RNAcentral is "bacterial LSU rRNA". It matches the Rfam family "Bacterial large subunit ribosomal RNA", at positions 1352 to 2925 of the family's 2925-position model. The record is from RNAcentral.